Molecule: ribosomal RNA, 494 nt
Filed under: uncultured bacterium
Lineage: Bacteria
Description: partial 16S ribosomal RNA
Rfam family: Bacterial small subunit ribosomal RNA
Source: RNAcentral
GACGAACGCUGGCGGCGUGCUUAACACAUGCAAGUCGAACGGUGAAGCGCCUUCCUUUUUGGUGGGUGUGGAUGAGUGGCGAACGGGUGAGUAACACGUGAGUAACCUGCCCCCUUCUUCUGGAUAACCGCAUGAAAGUGUGGCUAAUACGGGAUAUUCUGUGUCUGUCGCAUGAUGGGUCUGGGAAAGAUAUUGUUUCGGUGGGGGAUGGGCUCGCGGCCUAUCAGCUUGUUGGUGGGGUGAUGGCCUACCAAGGCGGUGACGGGUAGCCGGCCUGAGGGGGUGGACGGGCACAGAGGGACUGAGACAUGGCCCGGACUCCGACGGGAGGCAGCAGGGGGGAAUAGUGCACAAUGGGCGCAAGCCUGAUGCAGCGACGCCGCGUGAGGGAUGGAGGCCUUCGGGUUGUGAACCUCCUUCGACAGUGAAGCAGGCCUGCCUAGUAUGUGGGUGGGUUGACGGUAGCUGGAGAAGAAGCGCCGGCUAACUACGUG